CGGAGGGGGCUAGCGUUGUUCGGAAUUACUGGGCGUAAAGCGCACGUAGGCGGCGAUUUAAGUCAGAGGUGAAAGCCCGGGGCUCAACCCCGGAACAGCCUUUGAGACUGGAUUGCUUGAACAUCGGAGAGGUGAGUGGAAUUCCGAGUGUAGAGGUGAAAUUCGUAGAUAUUCGGAAGAACACCAGUGGCGAAGGCGGCUCACUGGACGAUUGUUGACGCUGAGGUGCGAAAGCGUGGGGGAGCAAACAGGAUUAGAUACCCUGGUAGUCCACGCCGUAAACGAUGAUAACUAGCUGCUGGGGCUCAUGGAGUUUCGGUGGCGCAGCUAACGCAUUAAGUUAUCCGCCUGGGGAGUACGGUCGCAAGAUUA
Molecule: ribosomal RNA, 372 nt
Filed under: uncultured organism
Description: bacterial SSU rRNA
Rfam family: Bacterial small subunit ribosomal RNA
Source: RNAcentral